This 75-nucleotide transfer RNA is filed under the name Maridesulfovibrio ferrireducens. RNAcentral describes it as "Desulfovibrio ferrireducens tRNA_Gln_CTG". It matches the Rfam family "tRNA". Rfam says of the family: Transfer RNA (tRNA) molecules are approximately 80 nucleotides in length. Their secondary structure includes four short double-helical elements and three loops (D, anti-codon, and T loops). The record is from RNAcentral. Lineage: Bacteria; Pseudomonadati; Thermodesulfobacteriota; Desulfovibrionia; Desulfovibrionales; Desulfovibrionaceae.
AGGGACAUCGUUCAAUUGGCAGGACAGCGGAUUCUGAUUCCGUCAAUCAAGGUUCGAGUCCUUGUGUCCCUACCA